Molecule: long non-coding RNA, 212 nt
Filed under: Mytilus galloprovincialis (Mediterranean mussel)
Lineage: Eukaryota; Metazoa; Mollusca; Bivalvia; Mytilida; Mytilidae
Source: RNAcentral
AUUUUUCUAUAAAUGAACUUUAUCUUAUACCUAAUAGAAAAAUAAAAUAAAAUAAUGGGGUCACCGUUCAUUUACGCUUACAAUCUGCCUUCGAAAGAAGCUUACAUUUUUGUUAACGUCCCUUUUUUCUGUUGAACUAAUCUAUAGCAGAAAUAGCGGUAAUAUCGAAAUAAAAAAUAACUAAUACAUUUUAAAAGUCACCUGGGGCCAAC